Molecule: small nuclear RNA, 115 nt
Organism: Prolemur simus (greater bamboo lemur)
Lineage: Eukaryota; Metazoa; Chordata; Mammalia; Primates; Lemuridae
Source: Ensembl
GUGAUAUCCUCCCCACUUUGGCAGCACAUAUAAUAAAACUGGAACAAUACAGAGAAGAUUAGCGUGGCCCUUGUACAAGAAUGACAGGCAAAUUCAUGAAAUGUUUCAUAUUUUU